GGCCUUGACAUACUAAGAACUUUCCAGAGAUGGAUUGGUGCCUUCGGGAACUUAGAUACAGGUGCUGCAUGGCUGUCGUCAGCUCGUGCCGUGAGAUGUUGGGUUAAGUCCGCAACGAGCGCAACCCUUUUCCUUAUUUGCCAGCGGGUAAUGUCGGGAACUUUAAGGAUACUGCCAGUGACAAACUGGAGGAAGGCGGGGACGACGUCAAGUCAUCAUGGCCCUUACGGCCAGGGCUACACACGUGCUACAAUGGUCGGUACAAAGGGUUGCUACCUCGCGAGAGGAUGCUAAUCUCAAAAAGCCGAUCGUAGUCCGGAUCGCAGUCUGCAACUCGACUGCGUGAAGUCGGAAUCGCUAGUAAUCGCGGAUCAGAAUGCCGCGGUGAAUACGUUCCCGGGCCUUGUACACACCGCCCGUCACACCAUGGGAGUUUGUUGCACCAGAAGUAGGUAGUCUAACCGCAAGGAGGACGCUUACCACGGUGUGGCCGAUGACUGGGGUGAAGUCGUAACAAGGUAGGCGUAGAUGA
RNAcentral lists this ribosomal RNA (532 nucleotides) under uncultured bacterium. RNAcentral's name for it is "bacterial SSU rRNA". It matches the Rfam family "Bacterial small subunit ribosomal RNA", at positions 977 to 1509 of the family's 1533-position model. The record is from RNAcentral.